GUGAGAUGGCUUUGCCAGCCUGGUACUUGCUGUGUUUUCACCUUCUCAGGGAGAUACACGUUCCUUCAGAGCAUAACAGUUGCUGAUUUGGUCUGUAAAACAUAUAAACUUGUGUUUUCAGGUAGAAAACUGCAAACUGGAAAAAACCAGACUGUCAAGUCUCUGCUGAAACAUGAGGAACAUAUUUUUUUCCACUUUUGCUCACAUACUUCUCCCUAGUCAGCUCAUUUUUCUUUUAAAAUAUGUUUCCCCUUUUUUUCUUUUUAUUUAUUUUUUUUUUCCAAAUGAGUAGCAAUACCUUGGGUGCCAUUUCAGUGUCAUCUGCAAGUGCCAUUUCAACUCCUCCAAGGAAGGAGCUGCCAUGAAAGGAGUAGAAGUCUGUGGGAGCAUUUCUCCUGAUAAGGGCAAAAUUGUGACUGUCCUGGGCCACUUGGCAUUUCCCUUCACACCACUUCCCAAAAGCUCUUGACCAGAGGAAAAGGAUAUGCAGAAGGAACAUUCUUGGAAGGCACAACCAGAAGGAGCUGCCCCUCAAUGUGUGUGGCAGUGCCUCUGAUUUGGAACACACCAGACACUCUUCUCUCGGUUGUCAUCAAAACUAUCAUGUCCACUGGCAUCUUGAGGUUAAAUUGUGCUCUCUGAUGGACAAUUUUUGCCUUCUUUUGUUCCAAAUGAUGACACUGAAUUUGUACCAUUUUCCUGGAAAUAUUUCUUUGUACUUAAAGAAAAAUAAAAUCAAGACUAAAGAAGAAGUUGGUUGGCAAGU
Molecule: long non-coding RNA, 766 nt
Filed under: Parus major (Great Tit)
Lineage: Eukaryota; Metazoa; Chordata; Aves; Passeriformes; Paridae
Description: lncRNA (ENSPMJG00000000969.1)
Source: RNAcentral